This is a regulatory RNA element of Klebsiella sp. RIT-PI-d, 135 nucleotides long. It matches the Rfam family "RtT RNA". From Rfam's summary of the family: This family represents a bacterial cis-regulatory element known as RtT RNA. The exact function of RtT is unknown although it is thought that it may be involved in changing the cellular response in relation to amino acid starvation. Lineage: Bacteria; Pseudomonadati; Pseudomonadota; Gammaproteobacteria; Enterobacterales; Enterobacteriaceae. The record is from Rfam.
UUUACAUCUGAAGCCAACAGGAUGAGAACCUCCGGGGGCAGGGAGGUUCGACCCGAGCGCAGCGAGAGAACGUUGCGACAGCAACGACCCGCAGGGCGAGCCACGCAGUGGCGAGUCAUCCUCUAUCACCGACCA